CAUCCUUUUCCUGUGAACUUUAUUGAUUUUAUUUUGGUCAGGAGUAUUUUUCUCUUGGCCAAAAGAUUUUUUAAACCCAAUUUAUUUUUAACCUUUAUGUCUGAACUGAAAUAUUGAAUUAUUCAAAACUUUCAACAACGGAUCUCUUGGUUCUCGCAUCGAUGAAGAACGCAGCGAAACGCGAUAUGUAAUGUGAAUUGCAGAAUUUUGUGAAUCAUCGAAUCUUUGAACGCACAUUGCGCCCUCUGGUAUUCCGGAGGGCAUACCUGUUUGAGCGUCAUUUCCCUCUCAAACAUUUUGUUUGGUGUUAAGUCCUAUUCACACUUACGUGUGAUGACUUGAAAUGCAUUGGCAGGACAGUAUUUUUCCAUGUAUUGACAACGUAUUAGGUUCUACCAACUCGUUGGAAAUUGGGAGAUACAAUGGUCAGGCCUUUACAACCGUGACAACAAAGUUUGACCUCAAAUCAGGCAGGAUUACCCGCUGAACUUAAGCAUAUCAAUAAGCGGAGGA
This 513-nucleotide ribosomal RNA is filed under the name [Candida] sp. EN15M01. RNAcentral describes it as "eukaryotic LSU rRNA". The stretch from base 127 to 280 matches the Rfam family "5.8S ribosomal RNA". The record is from RNAcentral. Lineage: Eukaryota; Fungi; Ascomycota; Saccharomycetes; Saccharomycetales.